RNAcentral lists this ribosomal RNA (468 nucleotides) under uncultured bacterium. Its description in RNAcentral is "partial 16S ribosomal RNA". It matches the Rfam family "Bacterial small subunit ribosomal RNA", at positions 28 to 507 of the family's 1533-position model. The record is from RNAcentral.
GACGAACGCUGGCGGCGUGCUUAACACAUGCAAGUCGAACGGAAAGGCCCUGCUUUUGUGGGGUGCUCGAGUGGCGAACGGGUGAGUAACACGUGAGUAACCUGCCCUUGACUUUGGGAUAACUUCAGGAAACUGGGGCUAAUACCGGAUAGAAGCUCCUGCUGCAUGGUGGGGGUUGGAAAGUUUCGGCGGUUGGGGAUGGGCUCGCGGCUUAUCAGCUUGUUGGUGGGGUAGUGGCUUACCAAGGCUUUGACGGGUAGCCGGCCUGAGAGGGUGACCGGCCACAUUGGUACUGAGAUACGGCCCAGACUCCUACGGGAGGCAGCAGUGGGGAAUAUUGCACAAUGGGCGGAAGCCUGAUGCAGCAACGCCGCGUGCGGGAUGACGGCCUUCGGGUUGUAAACCGCUUUCGCCUGUGACGAAGCGUGAGUGACGGUAAUGGGUAAAGAAGCACCGGCUAACUACGUG